UCGAGCGAGCUUGCCUAGAUGAAUUUGGUGCUUGCACCAGAUGAAACUAGAUACAAGCGAGCGGCGGACGGGUGAGUAACACGUGGGUAACCUGCCCAAGAGGCUGGGAUGACACCUGGAAACAGAUGCUAAUACCGGAUAACAACACUAGACGCAUGUCUAGAGUUUAAAAGAUGGUUCUGCUAUCACUCUUGGAUGGACCUGCGGUGCAUUAGCUAGUUGGUAAGGUAACGGCUUACCAAGGCAAUGAUGCAUAGCCGAGUUGAGAGACUGAUCGGCCACAUUGGGACUGAGACACGGCCCAAACUCCUACGGGAGGCAGCAGUAGGGAAUCUUCCACAAUGGACGCAAGUCUGAUGGAGCAACGCCGCAUGAGUGAAGAAGGGUUUCGGCUCGUAAAGCUCUGUUGGUAGUGAAGAAAGAUAGAGGUAGUAACUGGCCUUUAUUUGACGGUAAUUACUUAGAAAGUCACGGCUAACUACGUGCCAGCAGCCGCGGUAAUACGUAGGUGGCAAGCGUUGUCCGGAUUUAUUGGGCGUAAAGCGAGUGCAGGCGGUUCAAUAAGUCUGAUGUGAAAGCCUUCGGCUCAACCGGAGAAUUGCAUCAGAAACUGUUGAACUUGAGUGCAGAAGAGGAGAGUGGAACUCCAUGUGUAGCGGUGGAAUGCGUAGAUAUAUGGAAGAACACCAGUGGCGAAGGCGGCUCUCUGGU
RNAcentral lists this ribosomal RNA (711 nucleotides) under uncultured bacterium. RNAcentral's name for it is "bacterial SSU rRNA". It matches the Rfam family "Bacterial small subunit ribosomal RNA", at positions 49 to 733 of the family's 1533-position model. The record is from RNAcentral.